Long non-coding RNA from Mycetomoellerius zeteki, 486 nucleotides. RefSeq lists it as uncharacterized. The record is from RefSeq and is a predicted model, not a curated record. Lineage: Eukaryota; Metazoa; Arthropoda; Insecta; Hymenoptera; Formicidae. The transcript is spliced from 3 exons.
AAGGCGAUGACUGCAGCGGAGAGGACAACAAUGCCAACAUAUACUAGUCCCGUCUGAACAUCCAUUUUUGGUUGUUUUACCUUGGAAAAUAAAAAGCGGUUGCGAGGACACUGGAAAAUUUGUCCUUGAGGAAUCCUAGUGGGGCAUCCCACGAUAACGGACGUGUAUACGUGUGCAAGCCGAGCGAAAGCGGGGGUGAAAUCAAGGAGGAAUCACGGUGAACGUGCGGAAUGAAUCGGAGUUGUGCGAUAUCGCGGCCGACUCGGAGGAGCGGCAUAUGGAUUAUGGGGCCGCGGGUCAUCGACACAUCACGGGGAUUGACCGGCGAAUUCGGUGUUGCGUCGGCACGUUUAACGGUGUUACAGUACGACCGGCACGCCGUUACCACCAUGCUCUCGUCUCUCCCCCGAUUCCAAGACGCGAUGCUACGACGGACACUGCGAAUAGUCGGAUGAUGAUCGUCGUAGAUCGACGUGCUCCUCGCUG